UGGGGAAUAUUGCGCAAUGGGCGAAAGCCUGACGCAGCGACGCCGCGUGAGGGAUGAAGGUCUUCGGAUCGUAAACCUCUGUCAGCAGGGAAGAACGGUCACUGUGCUAAUCAGCAGUGAAUUGACGGUACCUGCAAAGGAAGCACCGGCUAACUCCGUGCCAGCAGCCGNGGUAAUCGUGCUCU
This 185-nucleotide ribosomal RNA is filed under the name uncultured bacterium. RNAcentral describes it as "partial 16S ribosomal RNA". It matches the Rfam family "Bacterial small subunit ribosomal RNA", at positions 355 to 533 of the family's 1533-position model. The record is from RNAcentral.